This 461-nucleotide ribosomal RNA is filed under the name Streptomyces sp. RNAcentral describes it as "bacterial SSU rRNA". It matches the Rfam family "Bacterial small subunit ribosomal RNA", at positions 63 to 541 of the family's 1533-position model. The record is from RNAcentral. Lineage: Bacteria; Bacillati; Actinomycetota; Actinomycetes; Kitasatosporales; Streptomycetaceae.
CGAACGAUGAAGCCCUUCGGGGUGGAUUAGUGGCGAACGGGUGAGUAACACGUGGGCAAUCUGCCCUUCACUCUGGGACAAGCCCUGGAAACGGGGUCUAAUACCGGAUAACACCGGCUUCCGCAUGGGGGCUGGUUGAAAGCUCCGGCGGUGAAGGAUGAGCCCGCGGCCUAUCAGCUUGUUGGUGGGGUAAUGGCCUACCAAGGCGACGACGGGUAGCCGGCCUGAGAGGGCGACCGGCCACACUGGGACUGAGACACGGCCCAGACUCCUACGGGAGGCAGCAGUGGGGAAUAUUGCACAAUGGGCGAAAGCCUGAUGCAGCGACGCCGCGUGAGGGAUGACGGCCUUCGGGUUGUAAACCUCUUUCAGCAGGGAAGAAGCGAAAGUGACGGUACCUGCAGAAGAAGCGCCGGCUAACUACGUGCCAGCAGCCGCGGUAAUACGGAGGGUGCAAGCGU